This 463-nucleotide ribosomal RNA is filed under the name uncultured bacterium. RNAcentral describes it as "partial 16S ribosomal RNA". It matches the Rfam family "Bacterial small subunit ribosomal RNA", at positions 28 to 507 of the family's 1533-position model. The record is from RNAcentral.
GACGAACGCUGGCGGCGUGCUUAACACAUGCGAGUCGAACGGUAAGGCCCUUCGGGGUACACGAGUGGCGAACGGGUGAGUAACGCGUGAGUAACCUGCCCUUCACUCUGGGAUAACAGUUGGAAACGGCUGCUAAUACCGGAUAUUCAGCUCCUGUCGCAUGGUGGGGGUUGGAAAGUUUUGGUGGUGGAGGAUGGGCUCGCGUCCUAUCAGCUUGUUGGUGGGGUGAUGGCCUACCAAGGCGUCGACGGGUAGCCGGCCUGAGAGGGCGACCGGCCACAUUGGGACUGAGAUACGGCCCAAACUCCUACGGGAGGCAGCAGUGGGGAAUAUUGCACAAUGGGCGGAAGCCUGAUGCAGCAACGCCGCGUGCGGGAUGACGGCCUUCGGGUUGUAAACCGCUUUCAGCAGGGACGAAGCGCAAGUGACGGUACCUGCAGAAGAAGCACCGGCUAACUACGUG